Molecule: long non-coding RNA, 1471 nt
Filed under: Zonotrichia albicollis (white-throated sparrow)
Lineage: Eukaryota; Metazoa; Chordata; Aves; Passeriformes; Passerellidae
Description: lncRNA (ENSZALG00000001347.1)
Source: RNAcentral
GGAACUGCCCUGGGCAUGGGAGACCACGAGGAAAAGGGAGGAAAAGGGAGCUGGGUCCAGCUGUGCCUCUGCAGCCACCCCUUAAUUAAUGAGCUAAUUAAGCAUGCUCACACAGAACCACUAAGGUUGGACAAAACCUUUAAAGCCACCAAAUCCAACCACUGCCACAUCACCCUCGUGUCCCCAAGUGCCACCCGACCCAGGACACACAGGAGCUCUGAGCUUCACCAUUGAACAACGCUUUGUUUUUUUUUUAGUUUUUUCCUUUUUUAAAGAAUUCCCAUGAGGGGAGGGGGGUCGGGGUCAGUAGUGUGAGUGCAGUGGGGGGGUGGCCGUGUCCCCAGGCUGUCCCCAGGUCACUGCAUGUAGGCGUAGCGCCAGUCCCCCAGCGGCACGUGCGUCUCCUUGAUGGCCUGGGGGGACGUCCAGCGCAGCAGGUAAUGGGGACCCCCGGGCUUGUCAUUGGUGCCUGUGGGGACACACAGGGGUGGUGACACCAGGGGGGUGGCAGGGACAUGGAGGGACACAGAGGGAUGGGAGCACAUGGAGGGACAAGGGGCACAAGAGGGACAUGGACAGGAGAUACAGGAGGGACACAGAGGGAACACGAGGGACAUGGAGGGAUGGGAGGGACACAAAGGAUGGGGACACAGAAGGACAUAGGGCACAGGAGGGACAGGGAGAGAUGGGAGGGACACAGGGGGACACAGGGACAGGAGGGACACAGAAGGACAGGAGAUACAGGAGGGACAUGGAGGGACACAAGGGACAUGGAGGGACAAGGAGGAUGGGGACAUGGAGGGACGCAGGGCAGAAGAGGGACAGGAGGGACAUAGAGGGAACAGGAGGUACAGGAGGGACAUGGAGGGACACAGAGGGAUGGGAAGGACACAGAGGGACACGAAGGGAUGGGGACAUGGAAUGACAGGAGGGACCUGGAGGGACACAGAGGGACACGGAGGAAUAGAAGGGACAUGGGGUACAGAAGGGACAAAGAGGAACAGGGAGGGAUGGGAGGGACACAGGGACAGGAGGUACAGGAGGGACACAGAGGGACAGGAGGGACAUACAGGGAACAGGAGGAACAGGGAGGGAUGGGAGAGACACAGAAAGACAGGAGGGACAGGAGGGACAUGGAGGGACACAGAAGGAUGGGAGGACAUGGAGGGACACAGGGAUGGGAGUGACACAGAACAGGGACAUGGAAGGACAAGGAGGGACAUGGAAGGACAUGGAGGAUGGCAGGGACAGGAGAGACACAGGGGACAGAAGGGACAUGGAGGGACAGGGAGGAUGGGGACAAGGAAGGACAUGGAGGGGCAGGAGGACACGAGACACAGAGAUCAGGAGGGACACAGGAGGGCCACAGGGGGGCUGUCCAGCCCCGCUGGUGUCACCUGAGAUGCGGGCUCCCCCGAAGGGCUGCUGGGCCACCACGGCCCCCGUGGAUUUGUCGUUGAUGUAGACGUUG